Molecule: long non-coding RNA, 1952 nt
Organism: Rosa chinensis
Lineage: Eukaryota; Viridiplantae; Streptophyta; Magnoliopsida; Rosales; Rosaceae
Exons: 4
Source: RefSeq, a predicted model, not a curated record
CAGGCAUUUGAAAUCUCUCUACUCUCUUUCAGAGCGACAGUCACUGCCGUGAGCCGUCACAACCUCCGCCACCACCAGCCUCUGUCGCUCUCUCCCACAAUCCGACAGCUGCUCUGCCCUCAAAAGGUCUUGGAACCACUCUGCUGUUAAUUGGACUACUCGAGUUUGGAGCUCGCAGCCUCAAACAUGUCAAUUGGGUCGUUAUUCAUCAGCCGGGCAUUUAUUAAAGCUCCCAAACAAGCAACACUAGAACAAGUGCCAGGUUCACAGUCCUCAGUUACUCAAAAUUACACAGAGAGCCCUCGAGACGUAGAGGUUUAAAUAUUGGGAUGUGCAUGACAAGUGUGAAUGGAGGAUUUGGACAUAAUCCUCAUGUGCAUAGAGACGGUGUCAUCAUCGUAUGCCAUGAUUCGAGGUGUAAAGAAUAAAUCUCAUGCUAAGUAAGCAAUCAAGUUUUGAUAUUAGGCUACAUUAAUAGUUCAAAACCACUUAUUAAUAGUUGCUGUGAUUUUCUCAAAAAAAAAAAAAAAAAAAGUUGCUGUGAAAACUGUCUUCAAAUUCUUAUGAUUUUGAACUAAUGGAAUUUCAGGUGGGUUUGUGCCCAUGUUUAGGGAGAGAACCAGGUACACCAUAUGGUAAAAUUAAUAGAGCACAUCGUUCACAGUUUGACGUUUUUAUUACAGAUAUAAAGAUGGUCAGCCACUCACCAUGCCUUUGUAAACAUUUUGCAUAAUGCAUUUCUUGAAGUUCUUAUGUCUGUGAAAUUUUCAGUUUGUACAAAUUUUGUAUAAUUAGGAGUUGGCAGAACCAUCAAUUCAAGAUGCAUUCAAUUGAUGUGUUCAACAAGGGGCCAAUCAUAUUAUUGUAAGCCCAUUUUUCCUCUACCUAGAAGACAUUGGGACAUGGAUAUUCCAUCCCUAACAGCUGAAGCUGCAAAGGAGCAUCCUUGUAUGUGCUAUAUAAUAACUGCACCUCUUGGCCUCCAUCCACCGCUAGUGGUACAACUGCUGAGUUUCCUGAUUUUUCUUUUCCUAAACAUAAGACAUUGUUCUGUAGCUGUUUCUAAAGCUUUGCAUAAAGCUCUAUUUGUGCUUAGCUUGAUGGAGUUUAGAAACAUAUAGACAUAACCCAAGGGACCUUGUGUGUGGCAUACUUCAAUGCCAAACCAGUUGAUGAGGACUGUGGCUGUGCUUUCAGUCCAAGUUGAUGAGGACUUUGGCUGCUGGAUGUAGUAAAUGACAGGAUCAAUUACUACCUUAGUCGUGUUGCUGAGAUGUGGAUGAGUGUGCUGUUUGUUUUGGAACAAGAAAAUGCCUGCUCCAUUGAUGUAUUCAUGUUCGCGCCACCAUUAUUUUCCAAAAUACUGUUGCCCCACCUAUAUGUAUGUAACCCUGCCUUCCUUCUGACAAGCUACCAUUUGCUAUAUAUCUUUGGGUGUCAGAACCAGUCCUCUGCUGUUAGUUGGACUACUCGAGGGUCGGAGCUCACAGCCUCAGACAUGUCAAUUGGGUCGUCGUCACCUGCCCAGCAUCUACCACUAAAAGCUCCGAAACAAGCGACAGCGGAACAAAUGUUAGGUUCGCAGUCCUCAGCUACUCAAAAUUGCAUGGAGAGCCCUCAAGAUGUAGAGAUUUAAAUAUAGGGUUGUGCAUGAGAAGUGGUAAAGGAGGAUUUAAACAAAAUCCUCAUGGGACGGUGUCAUCAACAUAGACCCUGGUUCGGGCCAUGAGGAAUCAAAUCUAAUGCUAAGCGGACAACGGGGAGCAACGGAGGACUGCCGCAGAAGACCAAAGAUAGGCACGCGACGGUAGAGAUCAAGACGUCGUCACCUGGAUCUAAAGCGAUCGUCGCGUAUCACGAUCAAAUCUUUUGCGCCGGUUUGAAUUGGUACCAGUCACCAGAGGCGUCGUCGCUGUCGAGGAUGCGGAGCUCGCCAGCAAGUUUGGGGACGG